AUGAAGAACUUGAGAGUCUGCCGUGACUGCCAUUUAGCUAUGAAAUUGAUAUCGAAGAGUGAAAACAGAGAAAUAAUCUUGAGAGAUGCAAUUCGCUUCCACCACUUCAGAGAUGGCUCAUGUUUUUGUGCCGACUACUCGUAG
Molecule: ribosomal RNA, 144 nt
Filed under: Triticum aestivum (bread wheat)
Lineage: Eukaryota; Viridiplantae; Streptophyta; Magnoliopsida; Poales; Poaceae
Description: partial small subunit ribosomal RNA
Source: RNAcentral